RNAcentral lists this long non-coding RNA (907 nucleotides) under Capra hircus (goat). Its description in RNAcentral is "lncRNA (ENSCHIG00000002134.1)". Lineage: Eukaryota; Metazoa; Chordata; Mammalia; Artiodactyla; Bovidae. The record is from RNAcentral.
AUGCUUCCUUUUGGACUCACAUCUGGUUCCCUUUCCUGCACCCUUAACUUAUGGCUCUGCCUCCACGGCAUCACUGAGUGAGGCCCGCCCUUGCUCAGGAUGGCUCAGAGCAGCACGGUUCUGUUUGCUUUGGUAGCUCCUGAAGUGUUUUGAGCUCUGCACGGACAGCGUGUAGCGGAUGCGGAAAGCCUGUGCUGAGUGCUUCCUGGCUGUGGCCCACGACAUGUCCCCUGAGGUCUGCAGGGCCAGACUCUGGCCCCUUUUCAUCACACUGAUCAGUGACCCCUGCCGAUGGGUGCUCCAGGCUGCCUUCCAGUCCCUGGGCCCCUUCAUCUCCACCUUUGCCAACCCCUCCAGGGCUGGCCUUUAUAUUCAGGAAGAUGGUACUUUCAACAUCUGACCACUGGCUCUGGGUUUGGACUCGGACAUCAGCCUGGGCUACCGGAUGCAGGCGGCUGUGGGGACUCAGCCUCCGCCUGCUCAAGUUCAGGGAUUAUCAGCUACACGGAGAGCUGCCCAGCUUAACUCUGUGAACAAGGUCCAGCACCAGCCAAGAGAAGGGCCAAGUGAAGUGUCCGUGCCAGGUCCCAUCCCUGCCCCUGACAGCCAGGGCCCCCGGCUGACCCCACCACGGUGGGGCGAGCUCUCCGCAGCCAGGAUAUUAGCAAGCAUGGUUGUGGCAAUUCUGCAGAAGUUCUGUUCAAACAGUGAAAGUGCACCGGGGUUCAGUUUAAUCAUGAACUCAUCCUACGGUUCCGGCACUGUUCUAAGUGGGUCGGAAGGCAAACAUUUGCUUUCAUUUGUCAGGUUAGCAGGGGCCCCAGGGGAGCAUCCAGCACGAGCAUACGUUUCCUGUGUGACGUCAACGCACAGCACCAGGCAAAGGAUCCCAGCCCUGGAGGACUAG